RNAcentral lists this long non-coding RNA (1318 nucleotides) under Homo sapiens (human). RNAcentral describes it as "HSALNT0329648". Lineage: Eukaryota; Metazoa; Chordata; Mammalia; Primates; Hominidae. The record is from RNAcentral.
AGCGAACCAGCAGGGGCCGAAGAACCGUGCAGUGCCAGAGCCAGAGCUGGAUCCGGGGCCCCAGCCGGAGCCGAAACCUGAGCCAGAGUCCGCGGCGGGCGAGCCCGGAGCCCACGAGCCGCAGACGCAGCGCUGCCCAGGUGGGGUAAGAGACGCUGGGCUAGGGGCGCAGGGUCUCCGCGGUGGAGGGGCGCAGGGAGGUGGCGGCCGAGUCCUGCGCAGUUUGCUCCUGGCGUGUGUGGGUCCACCCGGCGGCGCGGGACAGCGCAAGGCGCGGAAGGUCAGGAGCCUUCGAGGCAGCGCGAGGAGCUCGUUCCUGCGCCCAGGGCACAGUCAUAGCCGCCGUCACCGGGUGCUACCUCACCCAACCGGCGGGAUCAACCCUCUGCUUUGGCUCCGGGCACCUCAAGAGGGUAGCAGCCUCGGGGGCACGGGCCACGGCCCCGCGAAGGGCACAACCUGAGAAGCCCGUGGCAGCCCCUCGCAGCGUCGGGUGACACAGGGCUCCCCCACCCCCAGGAGAAGUGGGCAGGAGAGAGGGCCGCCCGCUGCUCCCCGCUGCGUCCAGGGAUGGAGGGCCCCACCACCCAUGGAAUUGCUGGCCCCUCUGCGUGGCCCGGGACUUCAGCCGUGGCUUCGCGUCAAGAGGGUAUUUUUCCUAAACGAAACCGCUUCGUUCGUUCGUUCGUUCGUUCGUUCGGGCAGCAAUGCCGCAGAAAAGCAGCAGACGUCGGUCCGCGCCCUGGCUCUCUUCGCCCCGGACCCCGACGUCCCGCCGCAGCGCUCGGAGGUGCCCCCAGCCCAAGGCAGCCUGCUCUCGCCGGCACAGGUCGGGCUUUUUCUUCCCAGGAGAGAAACCCCAAUUCCCUUCGUAACGUCCAAUAAAGACAUUCCCGCGGCUUCUCCCAGGUUUGGUUGUUGACGCAGGGUCCCGGAGCACGCAGUCGCUUCUCAAGAACCGGGUCUCGGAUUUCUGAAAUUGACCAGCUUCGUAAAUUGGAGCCUAUUCUCCCGCGGCAAAGGCAGGGCCCCAAAGCCGGGAUCGCAGUAAUGGGAACCCCAGGCUGGAAUCCGGGUCCCAAGCUUUUCCGAUUUAGGAAUUCCCCGAAUCUACAAAUAUUUAGUCCACUUUUCUGAAAAACUAAAUUCUGAAAAACACAAAUUCUCUUGACAUCCCUGUGACCUCUGAAAGCCACCAGGGCCAGAGGGAGGAAAUCCCAGGUUGCUGUCCACUGGGGGAGGAUUCAGGUCUAGGGUUCAGGUCUACGGUAGUCAGGGCAAAAGCUACAGGCAGCAGGGGCAGCACAGGAGACUUGCU